This 286-nucleotide unclassified non-coding RNA is filed under the name uncultured fungus. RNAcentral describes it as "partial contains small subunit ribosomal RNA, internal transcribed spacer 1, and 5.8S ribosomal RNA". The stretch from base 1 to 73 matches the Rfam family "Eukaryotic small subunit ribosomal RNA", at positions 1759 to 1831 of the family's 1831-position model. Lineage: Eukaryota; Fungi. The record is from RNAcentral.
GCAAACUUGGUCAUUUAGAGGAAGUAAAAGUCGUAACAAGGUUUCCGUAGGUGAACCUGCGGAAGGAUCAUUACAAGGUUUUUAAAAACCUCUCAAUCCACUGUGUGCACCGAUCGAAAUCAAAUCCCCUUCGCCAAUCCUUUCCCUCCUGAGGAGGAAGGAAGGAACGGAGUAGAGGGAUUUCUUUUUCAAUCCAGCCUGAACGCUGACUGACAAUCAUUUUUAUAAUUCAAAUACAACUUUCAACAACGGAUCUCUUGGCUCUCGCAUCGAUGAAGAACGCAGC